RNAcentral lists this ribosomal RNA (253 nucleotides) under uncultured bacterium. Its description in RNAcentral is "partial 16S ribosomal RNA". It matches the Rfam family "Bacterial small subunit ribosomal RNA", at positions 524 to 776 of the family's 1533-position model. The record is from RNAcentral.
UACGAAGGGGGCUAGCGUUGCUCGGAAUCACUGGGCGUAAAGGGUGCGUAGGCGGGAUCUUAAGUCAGAGGUGAAAGCCUGGAGCUCAACUCCAGAAUUGCCUUUGAUACUGGGAUUCUUGAGUUCGGGAGAGGUGAGCGGAACUGCGAGUGUAGAGGUGAAAUUCGUAGAUAUUCGCAAGAACACCAGUGGCGAAGGCGGCUCACUGGCCCGAUACUGACGCUGAGGCACGAAAGCGUGGGUAGCAAACAGG